RNAcentral lists this transfer RNA (90 nucleotides) under Anaerolineae bacterium. RNAcentral's name for it is "tRNA-Ser". It matches the Rfam family "tRNA". Rfam says of the family: Transfer RNA (tRNA) molecules are approximately 80 nucleotides in length. Their secondary structure includes four short double-helical elements and three loops (D, anti-codon, and T loops). The record is from RNAcentral. Lineage: Bacteria; Bacillati; Chloroflexota; Anaerolineae.
GGAGACAUGGCGUAAUCGGUAUCGCAACGGUUUGCUACACCGUCUGACCUCGACAACGCGGUCAUGAGAGUUCGAGUCUCUCUGUCUCCG